GAUGAACGCUGGCGGCGUGCCUAAUACAUGCAAGUCGAGCGAACGGACGAGAAGCUUGCUUUUCUGAUGUUAGCGGCGGACGGGUGAGUAACACGUGGAUAACCUACCUAUAAGACUGGGAUAACUUCGGGAAACCGGAGCUAAUACCGGAUAAUAUUUUGAACCGCAUGGUUCAAAAGUGAAAGACGGUCUUGCUGUCACUUAUAGAUGGAUCCGCGCUGCAUUAGCUAGUUGGUAAGGUAACGGCUUACCAAGGCAACGAUGCAUAGCCGACCUGAGAGGGUGAUCGGCCACACUGGAACUGAGACACGGUCCAGACUCCUACGGGAGGCAGCAGUAGGGAAUCUUCCGCAAAGGGCGAAAGCCUGACGGAGCAACGCCGCGUGAGUGAUGAAGGUCUUCGGAUCGUAAAACUCUGUUAUUAGGGAAGAACAUAUGUGUAAGUAACUGUGCACAUCUUGACGGUACAUAAUCAGAAAGCCACGGCUAACUACGUG
This 497-nucleotide ribosomal RNA is filed under the name uncultured bacterium. Its description in RNAcentral is "partial 16S ribosomal RNA". It matches the Rfam family "Bacterial small subunit ribosomal RNA", at positions 28 to 507 of the family's 1533-position model. The record is from RNAcentral.